RNAcentral lists this unclassified non-coding RNA (249 nucleotides) under Hevea brasiliensis (rubber tree). Lineage: Eukaryota; Viridiplantae; Streptophyta; Magnoliopsida; Malpighiales; Euphorbiaceae. The record is from RNAcentral.
AACCGAGUUUCAUGUGUAGUGUUUUGUGGAAUGGCAUGUCAACUGGGGUGAAUUUCAUUAUACAUGAUAAGCUUCAUUGGUAUGGGGAUUUAGAGAUCAGUCAUUGGAAUGAUAAGGUGUGGAACAGAAGCAUUUAGGAUAAGCUAGGACUUAUCUCUAACUGAUGUCUGACAUUUGUAGACAUUGAACUGGAUUGAUUGAUUUAAAAAGUUGAAUAAAGUGGAAUAGUGCAAAUAGCAUGCAAGAGAG